This 392-nucleotide ribosomal RNA is filed under the name uncultured bacterium. RNAcentral's name for it is "partial 16S ribosomal RNA". It matches the Rfam family "Bacterial small subunit ribosomal RNA", at positions 523 to 918 of the family's 1533-position model. The record is from RNAcentral.
AUACGGAGGAUCCGAGCGUUAUCCGGAUUUAUUGGGUUUAAAGGGUGCGCAGGCGGCCAUUUAAGUCAGCGGUUAAAUCGUGGGGCUCAACCCCAUUCUGCCGUUGAUACUGGGUGGCUUGAUUGCGGUCGAGGUUGGCGGAAUUCGUUGUGUAGCGGUGAAAUGCAUAGAUAUGACGAAGAACACCGAUUGCGUAGGCAGCUGACCAGACCGCAAAUGACGCUCAUGCACGGAAGUGCGGGGAUCGAACAGGAUUAGAUACCCUGGUAGUCCGCACAGUAAACGAUGAAUACUUGUUUUCGGCGAUAUAAUGUCGGAGGCAAAGCGAAAGCGAUAAGUAUUCCACCUGGGGAGUACGCCGGCAACGGUGAAACUUAAAGGAAUUGACGGGG